AUGUCAAUUAUGGGUGUUGGCUCCAACAAUUCGCAUUGGUCUCAAACCAAUGACAUGCAUUUCGAUGACUAUGAGUUCGAGGUGGACGAGGAUGGUGAGGGCAUUGUCGACGCAUCGAAAGGAAGAGGAGGCAACUACACCAACGAAGAAGACGUCUUGCUAUGCAAUACUUGGUUGCAAGUGUCGAGGGAUCCAUCCGUUGGAGGUGACCAAAGUAGAGAUGCUUAUUGGACCAUGAAGGAGGACUUUGAUCUACACAACAAGAGUGGAAUUGACCGCUCUGCCCGAUUUCUUCGCUCCCGGUGGUCGACAAUCAACAAAGAUUGUCAAAAGUGGGCGGCUGCACAAAAGGCGGUUGACAAGUUGAACCUAAGUGGCACUAAUGAUGAAGAUAGGGUAAGUGCCAUUUCAUCCAUGUUCAUCAUGCUUGUUGUUGGUGUUUGUAGUGCUAACUUGUUCAAAGGAAAGGAGAAGAAGAGAAAGAGAGGGAAGAUCAAGAAAGGAAGACUAUUUACCUUGCCUCAUUGCUAUGAAGCAUUGAAGGAUGAUGAGAAAUGGAAGAAGCGUGAUGAUAUGGAUGAUUUGGAUAUGAGCAAAAAACGCAAGCGAACAAUUGAUGUGGAGGAUGAUGAGGAGGAGGCAUCAAGUGAUGACGGCAAGAGAAGCCCCACACCGAAGUCGGUUUCAUACUCGAAGCCAAAACGACCGGAUGGGUGCAAGAAAGACGCAAAACGAAAGAAGAAGAGCUCAAGAAUGCUAUGGAAGCUAUUGUGA
Molecule: ribosomal RNA, 774 nt
Filed under: Triticum aestivum (bread wheat)
Lineage: Eukaryota; Viridiplantae; Streptophyta; Magnoliopsida; Poales; Poaceae
Description: partial small subunit ribosomal RNA
Source: RNAcentral